RNAcentral lists this long non-coding RNA (499 nucleotides) under Vitis vinifera (wine grape). RNAcentral describes it as "long non-coding RNA (VVIN_LNC007823)". The record is from RNAcentral. Lineage: Eukaryota; Viridiplantae; Streptophyta; Magnoliopsida; Vitales; Vitaceae.
UGGAUGCUUAUUGCUAGAUCCAUAUCAGUCCAUUAGUUAUCAUGUACGAGCCAUUGGAAAGUGAUUCAAGGUGAUAGCCCAUAGUGUCUUAAGCCAUUAAUGGACCUUGACUACCAUCUCUAGUGACUUUUUAUGGAUUAAAACUUCAUUGUCAAACCUAUACCGGUUCGGGAAAUAACUAUAGGUUAAAUCCCCAAUGCGAGGAGAAAAAUCCGGAAUUUUCCACUUUGCAUCUGGCACUUGAACCUAGCAACCUUCAGCUCCGGGAGACUUUCUUUCUUACACUUUUUACUUAGUUCUAUGUGAGUUUAGUUUAAAUCACCACUUUCAAAACAAUUUUAUUUUCUUUUAAAUUUCAAGUUUGUGCUAAAGGAAAUCAUCAGAAUCAAUUUCUAAUUUAGAGUCUGUCACUGAUAGAGUGAAAACCCAUCCCUGAGUUCGACCUUAGAACUACUAUACUAUAGUAGCUUUGCUACGCCAGUAUAAGGUCAUAGGUUUU